GUGCCAGCCGCGGCGGUAAUACGGAGGGUGCAAGCGUUAAUCGGAAUUACUGGGCGUAAAGCGCACGCAGGCGGUCUGUCAAGUCGGAUGUGAAAUCCCCGGGCUCAACCCGGGAACUGCAUUCGAAACUGGCAGGCUGGAGUCUCGUAGAGGGGGGUAGAAUUCCAGGUGUAGCGGUGAAAUGCGUAGAGAUCUGGAGGAAUACCGGUGGCGAAGGCGGCCCCCUGGACGAAGACUGACGCUCAGGUGCGAAAGCGUGGGGAGCAAACAGGAUUAGAUACCCUGGUAGUCCACGCCGUAAACGAUGUCUAUUUGGAGGUUGUGCCCUUGAGGCGUGCUUCCGGAGCUAACGCGUUAAAUAGACCGCCUGGGGAGUACGGCCGCAAGGUUAAAACUCAAAUGAAUUGACGGGGGCCCGCACAAGCGGUGGAGCAUGUGGUUUAAUUCGAUGCAACGCGAAGAACCUUACCUGGUCUUGACAUCCACAGAAGUUUUCAGAGAUGAGAAUGUGCCUUCGGGAACUGUGAGACAGGUG
This 535-nucleotide ribosomal RNA is filed under the name uncultured Citrobacter sp. RNAcentral describes it as "bacterial SSU rRNA". It matches the Rfam family "Bacterial small subunit ribosomal RNA", at positions 505 to 1040 of the family's 1533-position model. The record is from RNAcentral. Lineage: Bacteria; Pseudomonadati; Pseudomonadota; Gammaproteobacteria; Enterobacterales; Enterobacteriaceae.